RNAcentral lists this long non-coding RNA (594 nucleotides) under Olea europaea subsp. europaea. The record is from RNAcentral. Lineage: Eukaryota; Viridiplantae; Streptophyta; Magnoliopsida; Lamiales; Oleaceae.
UUUCAUCACAAUUUUUUCAUAUAUUUUGGUAGAUAUAUUCACUUUCUGAGAAAUUUUGACAUUAGACCAACGUAGUAUACCAAACAGAUGAUCUAUGUUGAUUUCAAUGAAUAACCACGUGAAAUUGCUUCAGGGCUAGCAAAGCUCCACCAAGAUGUUAGGACGUGUGAGUAUGAGGAUGUCCACAUCUUGUGGAAUAUGCUGAAUAGAAAUGAGACAGGUCUCAGUAGAAGGAAAAAGAGGUACUUUUGGGACAUCAUUCAAUGGGCUCCAUUCGCUUGCCGUGGUGCUUCUUCUCUUUGAUACUCACAACGUAUUUUUAAAUUCUCGAAAUCAGUCUAUUCAUUAUUUUGUGUUAAGAUGAAGCCCUGAAUUUCAUAUGCUGCUGUUUAUUAUGUAAACCAGUAUAGAUUAUUUUGUUUUUGUUUAUUUAAUGUCAAAUGUAUGGUGGUGGAGUAUUUGCUUCUCUUACUGAAUGCUUCUUGACAUGUAUGGUGAAUACAAACUCUUAUCAGAAGUUGACAUACCUUUAUCAAUAUAAAAUGGUGUGAAAAAUUUUGAUACUUGUAAAUAGAUCGUAUGUAUGUUUUUAAU